Molecule: long non-coding RNA, 200 nt
Filed under: Elaeis guineensis (African oil palm)
Lineage: Eukaryota; Viridiplantae; Streptophyta; Magnoliopsida; Arecales; Arecaceae
Description: long non-coding RNA (EGUI_LNC029086)
Source: RNAcentral
UUUUUCGAGUCUUCUUUGUCCUCCGACCCCACCCUAAAGCCCGAGGGUGGUGGUACUUCGUCCCUCGGAAAGGGCUCUCUUUCAUUACUGAUCUUCCAUCGUCCAUUCACGGAUGGAAGAAUCAGUUUUUCUUUGCGUCGUCUUCUGCUUCUUGGGGGUUUCCCGUCCGUUGGGAGAAUCCCCGAACCGAGCCGAAUGAG